UAGGGAAUCUUCCGCAAUGGGCGAAAGCCUGACGGAGCAACGCCGCGUGAGUGAUGAAGGUCUUCGGAUCGUAAAACUCUGUUAUUAGGGAAGAACAAAUGUGUAAGUAACUAUGCACGUCUUGACGGUACCUAAUCAGAAAGCCACGGCUAACUACGUGCCAGCAGCCGCGGUAAUACGUAGGUGGCAAGCGUUAUCCGGAAUUAUUGGGCGUAAAGCGCGCGUAGGCGGUUUUUUAAGUCUGAUGUGAAAGCCCACGGCUCAACCGUGGAGGGUCAUUGGAAACUGGAAAACUUGAGUGCAGAAGAGGAAAGUGGAAUUCCAUGUGUAGCGGUGAAAUGCGAAGAGAUAUGGAGAAACACCAGUGGCGAAGGCGACUUUCUGGUCUGUAACUGACGCUGAUGUGCGAAAGCGUGGGGAUCAAACAGG
RNAcentral lists this ribosomal RNA (429 nucleotides) under Actinomycetes bacterium. RNAcentral's name for it is "Actinobacteria bacterium partial 16S ribosomal RNA". It matches the Rfam family "Bacterial small subunit ribosomal RNA", at positions 355 to 776 of the family's 1533-position model. The record is from RNAcentral. Lineage: Bacteria; Bacillati; Actinomycetota; Actinomycetes.